UCCCAGUUCGGAUUGUAGUCUGCAACUCGACUACAUGAAGCCGGAAUCGCUAGUAAUCGCGGAUCAGAAUGCCGCGGUGAAUACGUUCCCGGGUCUUGUACACACCGCCCGUCACACCAUGGGAGCCGGAAAUGCCCGAAGUCAGUGACCCAACCGCGAGGAGGGAGCUGCCGAAGGCAGGUCUGGUAACUGGGGUGAAGUCGUAACAAGGUAAC
Molecule: ribosomal RNA, 215 nt
Filed under: uncultured bacterium
Lineage: Bacteria
Description: partial 16S ribosomal RNA
Rfam family: Bacterial small subunit ribosomal RNA
Source: RNAcentral